GGAGAGGUGACAGAGUGGACGAUCGUACCGGUCUUGAAAACCGGAGUCCCUUUACGGGGACCGUGGGUUCGAAUCCCACCCUCUCCG
Molecule: transfer RNA, 87 nt
Filed under: bacterium
Lineage: Bacteria
Description: tRNA-Ser
Rfam family: tRNA
About the family: Transfer RNA (tRNA) molecules are approximately 80 nucleotides in length. Their secondary structure includes four short double-helical elements and three loops (D, anti-codon, and T loops).
Source: RNAcentral